UUGCAUUUAGACCCAAAAUGAAGGAAUCUGCCUUUUUUCCCAUAAUGGUUACAAUACGCAUUGCUCAGUAAUGCAGCCUUCCAUAGCGAGAGAAACGGCAGCUUCAGGAACUGUGUGCAUGGUUUAGAUUAAUUACACCCUUACAUGUGACUAGGACUCACAUUUUAAUAAUGACAUCAUUUAUACUUCAGACAUGCAUCUAUCAAUCCUCCCCAUAUCUAGGACAGGAUGAUUAGGGGCUUGGAGUCUGUUUCAGGUACCACCGGGUAACGAGGCAGGGGACAGCCGGGGUAGGAUGCCAGUCCGUCACAGGGCAGACACAUGUACUAUCGUGUUACGGUUCACUGAACAUGUGGGAGGAAACCAGGGGAUUCACCGAAAACACACACAGCAUGGGGAGGGCAAAUACACCCCACAGCACGUGGGGGUGGGCAGUGGUGUGCCUGGACACUCUGGGCCCCCUAUCAAAAUGUCUCUUCCCCCCUCUCCCCCACCCCAUCCAGUUUUAUGUAUAACUUUACAUAUUCAUGGGUCCCUAUCAAGCGCUGGGCCCCCUGAAUCUGCCCGGGAAUCCACGCCCCUCUGGCGCUGCUGGGGAUGGGUAUGAACACCCCCCCUCCUCAUGUCCUUAUGGUGAAGCCGGGGAGUCACACGUACAACCACUGCAGUGUUAUAAUAAUGACAAACUACAGCUUCCAUGGAACCGCUGAGGUGCAGUAGGGGCGGGGAGGCUGUCCCACCAUGAGGAGCACAGGGCUACAUGCAGACCUCCAGCUGAGAUCAGGAUGAAGAACAUAAUGAUGUGCUGGCAGUGAAUAGGAACAGAAAUGUUCUUUACAGGUACAUGCAUUGUUAAUGGCAGUGAGAUCAAGGCUAUGGCAAGUCAAUAUCUUACCCAUGAAUUGUGAUUAAAAACGGCGGCCCAGCGGCAAGCAGUGCCGCCUCACGCCUAGCUCUCUGUGGGCUGGUCUCUGCCCUGCUGUUUCACUGGAAUUUGCAUGUAAUCCUUCUUGUGCAGGUCUUCUCCAGGUGCCUUGCUUUCCCCACACAGACCAAAGACAAGUUUCUAGGUGAUCCCAUGUCACUAACUUGCCCAUAGGCUGUGAGUGUGCUUUGUGAUAGACUGGCAUCCCUUCCAGAGUGUCUCCUGCCCUGCGCCCUGUGUUGUGUGGAACAGACUUCAGGUACUGGAAACAGGGCCAUGAAAUAUGAGCAAAGUGGUUUAUUCAUACAUACAGACGCUCCUCUACUUACGAACCUUCGACUUACGAACUUUCAGACAUACGAACGAAGAGGACUGAACGUCCAAGAUGUGUUCAUUGGGUUCCCGUUUCCUGUCCGCAACAUCAAUUUUUUUUCCUGCGCGCCAAUUCCGCCAAGCGGCGCAGCGUGCGUACUCCCAGCAUCCUAGUUCUUUGUACUUGCGUAUACCCUUAAAAUGAUGUUGAACUUACGAACAUUUCAAAUUAUGAACGGCCGUUCGGAACAUUUCUCGUUCGCAAGUAGAGAAGCGUCUGCAUAUGCAUGGUAUUAAGGUAUAAUCAUUACUCCAUUUUAUAGAUGAAAGUAUGAGUAAAUAGAUAUAUAGACUACCAUUUAAAAAGGACAUAGCUUUAUUACUGUUCUCUUAUUUUAUCUGCUGCUCUUUUUUCAUUCUUAUCGUAUUCACUUUGCAGCAAUGUGAACUGAUCGUUGCUAAUGCUUGUUGUCUAUCAUUCUUAGAUUAACAACAAAAUUUAAUGAUGCUUCAGCAAGUCCAAUGCAUCAAGCUGCUACUCACCUAGCUACUCAAAUUAUCUCCACAUGGCACUUUGGAUAAAAGUGCUUCAAUCCAGACAAAACAAAAUGCCCAUUUAUUCUAAGUACGUAAAGAGAGUCCUGUUACUCCUCUUCAGAGGUUGAUAGUUCAGGUGCCGAAGGUAAAAAUCCAGACCAAGAUUUUGUUUUAACCAACCAAUUGAGUAUGAGUAGUCAUGUUCACCAAGUACUAAACUGGUUGAUUGAAACAAAAUCUUGGUCUGGAUUUUCUACUUUUUGGACCUGAACCUGCCACUGCUGCUCUUCUUCAUAAAGUGUCUGGAGAAGCAAGGGGCCACAUCACAAUGAUCCUAAUGAUGUGACGGCAUCUAGUGGGUCCCAGGACUCAAAACUCCCCCGAAAGACUGAACGUCCAGCCUCCCUUUGAGCAUAGAGAUCUCAUCUCCGGGUACACCGCCGCACGCCCGUCUGUUAAUAUCCGCAGUUACCCUAUAACUGCACCAUCCUGCAGGUCCCCAGAGAGCAGAUUACCAUCUGAAGAGCGUCAUGUGCCCAGCGGCGGAUGAAUCACCCGUCGGCGCUGUCUCGCGGCCAGGGGCGUGCUCAGUGCCGUAUUGUCGAUUCUCUUUAUUGGAAACAUUGAUACUCAGGCAGCAUAUAUAUCACUGUACAUAUAUAGCACUCUGACCUGCCAAACGGGGACAUUAGCUAAGCCUAUAAGCCAAGCCUUGGGGUGGCAAUGAGAGCAGCCAUUUCCAUCCAACGGCAUCACAUUGAAAACAAAUCAAACAAUACAGGAGGGAAUUCUGUUUUAUUCUGUUUUUCACAUUACAUGACACCUUCCGAUGACAUACAUUCUGGGACCUUUUGAUCCUCGAUCAGCUUUCUCCAUCAUUUAUAUUCUCUGUCCUUCGUAGCGGAGCUGUAAAUAAAAAUAUUUUAUAUCCCUGCUGUAACUACAGCGAGGAUUUCUGGGCACUGCAAGCUGAGCUAGCAAAUGUAAUCCUGCAUUUUUUUAUGAAUAUAAACUACAAAUCUUUCAUGGACCUACUCCCCAAAACAGCAAUAAAAAGCAGAUAUUAUGCAUAAAUCUGUGACGAGUGUCAGAAUCCAAGAGAAUAGAAGUAUGUAUUGUAAUCAAAAUAAAUUCUUUACAUGUCGCUGUUUAUACAUGCAAUGGCAAUUUUUAAAUAUUCUAUCUGCAAUAAUAUGUCUGGGAAUAGAAACCAUUAUAAUCGUGGGUUGGGUGGGAAAACGGCUUGAUAUUAAGACUAAAAAGUUUGUUGAGAGGUUCAGACUCCAGUCGUUUUGAGGUAGGGAGAUGCUUCACUGAAGCACUUUCUUUUGCCUGGAACCGUGAGAGUGAAGCAUAAAAUAAUUCAGCUGAAGAAUCUCCAGCGAUGAGGUGGGGCAGGGCAGAUAAAGACUGUACCAUGUUCCAUCUCUGACACAUAUUAAAUGAUCCAUAAAAGUCCAUUUUUGGAACCAGCUGUGCAGUGCAAAGUAAUCCUGCACCAUCCUGAGCCAGUAAACCAAGAGAGAAAAGGCAGAAUAAUAAUUAUUGGGUUUUUAAUUGCCAGUAGAAUCAUCCACCAGUCCGUCUUCCAUAUUGCACAUUCAACACAGCCAGUAUGGUGCUUACUGGUGUGCAAUGCCCAAUAUAAUUACAUCAAUUUGCAUCUGCUAAGCUGAUGGGCAAUAACAUAAUAGUAUCACAUAAAAACCCAAAAUACAUCGUUUAAGACCAAAAUAAACCAUUUCAUUAGAGACAUUUUCCUCCAGUAGUAGCACUAUAAUUAUCGCUGAACUUCAUUGCUCAUAAAAUGACCGGGGAAGUCGAUGUCAUAUUUCACUGAAUAAAUGCUCCCUGCAUUUCCAUGAGCACUUUCGCGGUGCAGGAUCGUGGCAGAGGGAAUAAGGCGGGGUGCCCAGUCCUGCACUGGGCUGACACACGUAUAUUAUGGGCAAUUUGGGGACUCAUUCGGCUAAUUGCAACUAAUUCAGCUAAUUGCAUGUUUUUGGAUUGUAGGGGGAAAGUGGAUUACCCAGAGAAAGCAGACAAACAGCGGGAGGACAUGCAGAGUGCACAGACACACAGAAGCAGCCAGUGCAAAAGCGCCAUUCUCAUGGUGGUCCCUCCCCAGUGAAACCAGGGGGGGCUUCACAGCGGUUGGACCAGCUCCUCAUUAACCCGGCCCAGACCGAGGACCAAAAGCCUGUUUGACCUUCUUCAGCAAGGCCAGAAAAUGCAUAUUAAUGCGAGUCUGGAGCUGCUGUGAGGCACUAAUGCAGCCCUGAGUGUGUGACUGACACGCAGCCCGAGACCAGUGAAGUGGGACUUCACCCUGGGAAUCACUGCUUCACCCCUGAUUUUGGUUGUACAGUAUUUUACAUCUAGCUGUACAAUUACACUGCAAAUCUUUCCUAUCAAUCAUUAACUGUCUUGUAUUUAGCAAUUAUAAAAUCUGGUUAGGAAAGAUUAACUUUUCCCGUGUCACUUACAUUUCUAAGACUUGUUUACCUGUUUCUGUCACUGUCUUUUCAGAUUCUCUAACCCUGCAACCUUGUACGUGUUUCUGUGCCUUUAAUGGAACCUCCAAGCACUAUUUUAUGUACCGUAUCUACUUAUAAGUCUCGCUUACAGAGGUUAGCAUUCAAAAUAGCGUGUAACCAUAAGUGGCAUUCUUAUACCCACAGAGGAAGUUCUUAAACUUAUAAUUAAAAGUCUUUUUAAAUUCUUAAAUUUCUUCAUGUGCAGUAAUGUCUG
Long non-coding RNA from Paramormyrops kingsleyae, 4525 nucleotides. RefSeq lists it as uncharacterized. The record is from RefSeq and is a predicted model, not a curated record. NCBI's taxonomy places the organism in Eukaryota, Metazoa, Chordata, Actinopteri, Osteoglossiformes, Mormyridae.